CAAUUGGUUUUCUUUAAUACAACACAACAAAUACUUUAAUACACAUCUCUCUCUCUCUCUCUCUCUCUCUCUCUCUCAAAAUUUUUAGGCAUAGACUUCGUUUAGGAUUGUGGAAAGAUUACAUUACGUGCGGUGAGAAUUCGCCUGUAAUAUUGUGUUCCGCAUAUUGCGAUUAGUAAGUUAUGAUAUAUUUUCUGUGGUCCAUCGAAGAACGUAGAAUCAUAUUUCUAUAUGGUUUUUCUCAAUUUCAUUCUAUCUAAUAGCGUUAGAUCCACCUCAAUACCAAACUAAGGAAUCCUAUCUAACGCUAUUAAAUAAAAAAAAAAAAGAUAAAAGUAUGUGGAGAUAUGUUUCUGCGUUCUCCGAUAAAACCACAGAAAAUAUAUCAUAACCGACUCAUCACACUGCAAAAAAUAUAUCGUAACUGACUCAUCACGAUAUGCGAAACGUAAUAUUAUAUACGAAACAAACAAGAUAAGUCUUAAUAGAAGAAGAGAGGGAGCGAGAGAAAAGUGGGGACAGUGUGAGAGAUGAGACCACAAAAAAGAGUUGAAUUAAUUGCGGGAAAGGAAAUAAAGGGUGUAGGUAGAGAGAGGGAUUAGGAAGAGAUAUUGAAAUAAAUAUAAAUUGCAAUUAAUAAGUGAGG
RNAcentral lists this long non-coding RNA (646 nucleotides) under Ananas comosus (pineapple). RNAcentral's name for it is "long non-coding RNA (ACOM_LNC031026)". The record is from RNAcentral. Lineage: Eukaryota; Viridiplantae; Streptophyta; Magnoliopsida; Poales; Bromeliaceae.